This is a long non-coding RNA of Numida meleagris (helmeted guineafowl), 11553 nucleotides long. RefSeq lists it as uncharacterized. The record is from RefSeq and is a predicted model, not a curated record. The transcript has 4 exons. Lineage: Eukaryota; Metazoa; Chordata; Aves; Galliformes; Numididae.
CUUUAAAUGACUUAGUUUUAGGGUAGGCGUAAUGCAAUCCACACAGGCUGUGAAAUUAUUCUCAUCAGGAGGCUUUAAGGAAGGUUUCUGGGAAGCAAGGCUUCAGGAAUGAGCUGCAUUGAUCCUGUUUUUGGAGAUCAGUCAUAGUGGUAAACAGCAAGCCUCUGUGAUUUAUGACUGGGCUUGCUUGCUGAUAGUACCUUGGAGAUGUCUGAGCACCUGCAGCUGGGGAGCCGGCUUUAGGAACCAGGCAUUUAAACCUUUCAGCAUUCCCACUGAAGUUGGGGAGAGCUUCAAGCACUCAGGAUCUGUUAAAACCAAGAUUCUUUCUUUAUGUGUUCAAGUUCAAGCAGAAGACUAGGUUUGUGGUUUGUUUUUUAGCAAAUAAUUCUUAAUCCUUAUUUUUUCUCCUACCUAGUGUGAUUCAGUAGGCAUACCUGCUUUGUAAAGAGUUACAGAUUCAACAAAACCAAGAUGUACUUUCCUUAUAAUCACAGAAGACAAGACCUCCAGAGGACCUCUGCUGCGCUCCCUACAUUAAGACAGCGGCACCUAUAGCAAGAGCAUGUCUGCUAAAAGAACUUUAUGUUAAUGGCAUCUUAAAGAAAUUAGGGAAAUGGCCGUUAUAAACAAACAGGAAAUAGGAAAAGUGAAUACUCUUUUGCACAAUAGUUUUGAUAAAUUUUGCAGUGAUCACCGCUAUCGCAUUGACUAGGUACCAAAACUAUUUUCAAGAGUUAAAUUCCAAGCAGGAUUUGGACCAUUAUUAGGCCAAAUAUCAAAAAGUCCUUUGUGAGUCCCAAGUACACACAUUUGAAAUUUAAGCACAAAUCCUUCCCUUUUUCAGUUGAUUUUGGUUUUGGAGAAUUGUCCCCCACUUACAUCAGGAUCGAAACAUCACAAUCUUGCAGAAGAAAAAUCUUCUAAUUUACAUGCAUGAAAAUCCACAUCUCCACUAAGCAGGUAGUUUUUUGCUGUUACCCUUUUUCAGUAAAUGAGUGGUACUGCCCUCAUGCCAUUGUAACUGUUAGAGAUUUUUGGCACAGGAUCUCAAAGAGUGAUGGAAGCUUGAUGGAAUUCUUUUUCUUCCUUCCUGUCUCAGUAUUGAAAAUCAAAUAUAAUCACUAUUUAUCCUUCCACCUGCAGAGCUCCCUGCCUUGGGCUUCUCAAGUGGAACCUUGUAACUUCAUAACUCCCAUAAAUCAAGUAAUCCUGUAUUCAGUCUGAGAGAUGCCAUGAACUCAUUUUUUAACCCAACAAGAUUUAUUGGGUGGUGAUUUUUCAUGCCUUCUGGCACCCCAAGACAAUGGAUAUUUAUAUUUUUUUCCUUCUAACUCAUUCUCUAACAUUUCAAAACAAUGACUGUAUAUCAGUUUGUGUGCCAAAAGUAUCACCUCAUGACGAGCUCCUACGCAUUUAUACGCACAUGAUCUGAGAGUGCAUCCAUUUUUUCCAUAACUUACUGUACCACAGGUUUUUACAAUGAGAGAAUGGAAGCAUCUGGAACAGUGUGUUUCACACUGUUGUUCUGAAAGAUCUUGUGAUGUUUCUAGAAAUUGCCAAGAUACAGGUGGUAUAUUAGGCCUUGAGUGAUUAUCUUGUUACCAAAUCUUGCCAACUAGUUUUCAAGAGACCAAGAAAAGACAAAAAAAAAUCUCAGUAAUAGGGUACGAGACAGAGGUUAUUUCUUGGUAAUAAAGUGUCCUGAUACUCAAAUGACUGAAGAACGGUUGUCAUUUCACUCUAUGAAUAUUGUAGGAAUAGGUAUUACUACAGUUUCACAGGACUGCAAAGGUUUAGAUGAACUUUUCUAUUCUCAUACCAAAAUAGAGUGAGUUGAAGAUUCUCUGAAGAGCUAAAUAUUCAUGGAAAGAGAAACAGUAGGAAAACUGGAGCAUAUCUGCACACCUCAGCCGAGCUUAAGCUAGUUACCCUGAAAUGAAGCCAGUGCUGUAAAGCCUGGCAAAGAAACACUGAUGCCAAAAUGCACAAUAGCAAAGCCCAAAGAUUCCUGAAGAAGUAAUGUGAUUGUUGUAUUGAUGCCAUGCAUCUAAUAGGCCUUUGUCUGCUCUGGCUUCUGGUGUGUUUUGUUUCCUGAUAACUGUGUUGUUUUGGUCAGAUCACUAACAUGCUGGUGAGCACAGAGCUAACUACAGCUGCACUCAUCCUUUCACAACUGCAUUUUUUCUAAUUGACACCUCAAUGAUCUGCAAAGAUAGACCUCCACAUUACAAGCAUUAGGCUGCAAUACUAACGUUAUUAGGUGCCAUCAUUAUGAAGUUGAUAAUAUUUUUAAUAUUUUGAUUGCAUUACUGUAUCUGUAAUCCUACAAUUUUCUCAAGGAAUGCUAUUGUGCCGUGAUGUGUAAUAGCACCUGAGAUCACUUAAACACGCCUUGUUUUUAAGCACUUGUAUUCAGAGCUCUUGAAUACAGUGAAGCAAAGUCCCAUCAGAGGAGCAUAGGUAUGUCUGGGCUGCUGACCCCAAGUGACAACAUCAUCCCGUAACAUUAAAAAAAUCCUGUGCUUAGACUGGUCACAGACACUCAAGUGUUCUGCAGAGAAGACAUAAAUAUCUCUCACUAUACAAUACUUGAGAAGUAGGGCCUAGCACUGACUCAAACACCAAAAAAAAAAAAAAAAAAAAAAAAAAAAAAAAAAAAAAAACACUAAAGGUGGAAUUGCUGUAAUUCCUGCGGGGAAUGCGUCUAUGAUUAUGAACAGAGAAGCUGAAGGGGCUCCUUCAAGACUCAGAUCCAGGAUGAAGUGUGGUAGUCAGAGGAAAAACAGUUUGUGCUUUGUUUCCUGCAUCAAGAGAAGUCUCACAGACUGUUUUAAGUUCAGGUUUAGAACUAAGCUGAGACCAGGUUACAGAAACUUGCUAAGUUUCUGGCUUGAUGGUCAAAUCAAUUGUGGUAGAUGCACCAAGAAGCGUAUGAUUUGUUAAUACUUAUGUUUCCAUUAACUUUGUCGGGAUAGAGGUUAAUACUAACAAGGACUGUGAUUAAACUUACAGAAUAAAGAUGAUAAAUUGUUACUUUUACUACAUGAUCCUACAAGAACAUGGAUUCAGGACAAGGGCUUGGGCUGUAAGUUGGUUUUGGAGCAUUCUAGGAGGAAUUCUCUUGAGAAAAGGUAACUGUGCUGGCUCUCAGAAAUGUGAAUGUACUGAAGUUGUUACCCUGGAAAGCAGGAAAACUGAAGUAACCUAUGAACUGGAAAGAUAUUGGAAACAAGACAUGGAACACUUUGCAAGAUUGCCUGAACCAAAGUACUGCAGUGAGAACUGAUGACUGAAAAGCUUACAGUAAUUCAGUUUGAAGUGUUUUUAACCACGUGGAAUGCUCUCUCCGUACAGCAGCAGGCAAUCUCUCAGCAGCCCACAUUUUGUGGCUGUUCAAAUUCAGAAUUUCAUUCCUAGUGAUGGUUUCAAAAUAUACACAUGAAAUGUGAAGAAAACGUCCUGGGAAACAACUGUAAAAUAAAAUUGGGUAAGAUUUAUUCAGUGCAUACUGAUUUCACAUGUCCUUAAGGCUGUGUAAUUUAAUAGACAAUACUGGCAAAUGUAAUAUGGAUUAUGUUAAUAGGUUAUGGAUUAUGCUAACACUGUUUGAGAACUCCAUAGAAUAUGGUAGAAAAUAUUUAUUUCUUUUAACCUUUUUGUCUGUAGCAAAGUCAUAAUGGUUUAUUCAAUUAAUGAAUUCAAAAAUAGUUUAAAAGAGCUUGUGUUACACUUUGCGGUAUGGAUAAUGAUGACAAAAUCUCAAAACCAACACAGCCUGCUUUGGCUCUGCACCGCCACCCAUCUCGAGGAAAAACCUUAAUGCUCUUCCAGAGAUGACAUCAUGGACUUCAUCUGAAUGUUUGGGAAAAAAAGUAAAAAAUAAAAAGGGACUAUGUGUUCAUGCCAACCUCAGUGCUUAUCUGCAUCCAGACAUCAGCCUUACAGCCUCAGCACUGAAAGCCCUGGAGACACGUGAAGCAGCUGCGCCGCGCUCCAGCUCAGCUCAGCGCUGCUCUGUGCAGGGUUGGGUGAGCUCUGCUCGGUGAGCGGUGCUGAGCCAGAGCCCACCGUGCUGAGGAGGUUGCCACGGUUACCGCAGGGAUCCUGCGCUUGGUGCUGAGAUUCAGGGCUGUAAUAGAGACGCUUUGCUUCACUAAACAGGAAAAAAAUAGCAAGAUAUAGAACAAAGAUUAAGUAACUGAAUUUCUGCAGAAGUAAAUAAAAAUAAACAAUGACAAUUACAUAUAGGCAAAAUGCAAGAGCUGUAAAACUGUUGCUAAUCCCUUAAUUAUAUACAGAUGUUUAAAUCAAAUGUUUUAUAAACCCAGUGGGAAUUUUCAACACAAUACGGUUAUAAAUACAAACUCAAUCUCUAUUAUACCCUUUGCCACUCUCUUAUCCCAGCUGUAGUGCCUGUGGACAGAUACCUUGUUCUAGUGUGGGAUGAGGUGAAGCCCCAUCAUCAACCUCAGCACAACUCCUGCUGCGUUCAGCCAUAAUGAGUCUCAUCCUGCAGUAUGUUAACUGAGCUACAGGUUAACUCAAUGACUGAAUGACAGGUACACUUAGAAUCAGGAUAGCUGCUGCAACUUGAAAGGUGAGCGCGGUAGGGUAGUGUGGGGAUGGGCCUCUUUUCCUAGGUAACAGUGCUAAGAUGAGAGGUAAUGGCCUUAAGUUAUGCAUGGAAAGAUUCAGGUUGGAUAUUAGAAAAGAUUUGUUCUCAGAAAGAGCAGUGAGGCACUGGAACAGGGUGCCAUGAAAGUGGUGGAGUAACUAUCCCUGGAAGUGUUCAAGAACCAUGUAGAUGUGGCACUCAGGGACAUGGUCAGUGGGCACGGUAGUGACGUGUAGAUGGUUGGACUGGAUGGUCUUAGUGGUCUUUUCCAACCUUAAUGAUUCUAUGAUUCUAUAAUUUGUCACACAGGUCGGUGUGAGAUGGGGUAACCAGAGCUGCACAUCAGAGCACAGACAUGACACCAUGCUGCUGGGUAUGGCACAUGAGCAGUCCUGCAUAAGCACAGUGAGUGUGUGACUAAUUUUAUUACUUACAUAGGAUAAAAUAGCUUGUAUCUGAGUUCAGAAUUGAGCCCCUGGUAUAAAUACAGAUUUACAUUAUGAGUUCAGAAACUACUGAUGGUGGCUGUGAAACGCACUAACAUUUCAAAAGCCUCCUAAAAUGUUGAGAAAAUUCCAUCAAUCACGGUCUUAAAACUGUUCAUGCCCUUCAUCAUUUUGGACUCCUUUUACAUAAUUUUCAGCUCCUAUUUUACAGUCUGUAGUUGAAGAAGUCCUCUUGCUCUUUCCUUUAUUUACUUACUUUUGACAUGGAAGCACAUACAUUUUAUGCUUCUCUUGCAAAAACUUAUGUGAUCAGUAUAAGGUCAAGAAGAGGUAACUCAUAUAAUAAAAGAGUUUGAGUCAAAACUCAUUUUAAAAGUAAUGAGACAUCACUUCUAUAAUUAUUUGUGAUACAAUAUUAGAAUGAGGAAUUACUUUGACCAAAAAAUAUUCACUUUUUUUUUGAGGAAUUGUUUAAAUGCAAAUAUCUUUGGCUUAAUAAUUGCUACAGAAUAUUCUCAAGCAUAGGCUGUUUCUUUGCUUUUGCUGUGAAACAUAGGUUGGACACUUCUAUACUAGCAUUCUUAACCAUUUCAGUUAUUCAGGAUAUUAUUGAAAUUUGUUUCUUUCUAAAUCAUUUAUUUCUGAAGCUACUAGUUUUGAAAUUACUGUAGCGCAAUUCCUCAGUGCAGAAAUCUUGAAGAAGGAAAGCUAGGAAGCCCUAGUAGAAAACUGAAAUGAAUUAGGCAAAUAGAUGAAUGAAAAAGUAAAAUUAGUAACUCUAAGGGGGCAGUUUACUUAUCGGGAAAGUAAUUUUAUGAACUUAAUCUAUUUAGGCAAGAAUCUUUGGGGUUUUUUUCUGAAGGUUUUCAAGCAGCAGAAUUAAACGAGGUAAUGUUGGUUCAUUAUGCCCAAGUUCAGCCAACACUGUGAAAAGCCCCAUCAAAAAUCAACAACGCUCGUUCUGGCUUAUCCCUCAUUUGCCAGCUGAUCACUGAAUCUGCCCAGGAUGUUUCCAUUUGUAGAAGACAAACCCAGGUAGUUAUUGGUUUGAGAGCAAAGAUCCUUCCAUUUAGAGGUGUGUUUCUCACAGGCACUUACAGUGGGUUUGGCCUUUGAUGGUUAUUUAGGCAUGUAAGUGUCCAAUAUUACUUAACGCUUGGCUUUCUCACUGGAGGAUCCGUGACAGGCCCAGGCUUCUGGAGACUUCCACCUGUAAGCUUUGAAUUUCUGCAUGGGCCAAUCCAUCGCCACAUGGCAGCUCAAUCAAGGUGAGAUUUUAUGAGGGUAUUGCUUUUUUAUGUCAGCUGGCAGCAGCUUACCCAUGGUGACGAGCAACAGCAGGGGACAGUUGAGCAAGAAUCUCUCUUUGUUUGGAACCCACUCUUCACUGCCCUUGUGUGGGCAGUAGAGGCAUUCUCAGAACCUGCUUGGCACAGUCGGAGGGUAAGAGAAGGCAGAGAAUCUGUUCUAGAAAUUGGUGCUGCCCCUUAACUUUUGAAUCACAAUGUUCAAUCCCUAUGUAAAAAGCAAGGCAGCAGCUUUGGUUCCACCUCCCUUAUUCCUGAACACUCACUGUCACACACACAGGCCUGGGGCAGGCAGCUGGUGUGCAGCAGAGGUGUGCUGCAAGAGUGCCUGCUUCUCCUCCUGCCUUUUUUUAUGAGGUUCUAAGCCUGUUUUCCUUCUUUGCUUUUACCAUGCCUCUGACUGCAAGAGACUCAAGAGAAUGCAGCCAGGAGACAAAGUACUGAAUUUGCUGCAUCCGAAUUCUAUAUGAGCAAACUUUAUGUCACAAACAGCUCAGUGAUUUCAUUGAGAUAUAAAGUUGAAGAAGAAGCUGACAAAGAUUAGAAAAAUCUCUCAGCAGCAUAGAAAAAAAAUGCCCAAAAGUAGCCAAGUAAAUUGCUGUUUGUCCAUGAGAUGUGAAAGUCUAUCCUCAACAUAUUCAUGGAAAUGCAGAUUUAUUCAAAAUUUCUCUGUCUUUCUAUCUGUCACAAGUUUUUUGCAACUUUAAAUGAUUGGACUGGAUAACUGAAUUUAAAACCUAAUGUGUUUAGCUGUAACAAAUGGAUAAGUAAUGGUCAGAAUUUUAGUGAGACACUUAACACAUGAUUCUGGAGUUUGCACAAAAUUAAAGGGAUUAAAUAUCUCUCCUAGGAUUUACAGUAUGAUGUGAGCCUAUAAAUAGAAAAGACUGUAAUUCAGCUGCCUACCAAAUAUCUAUUUAAAAUGCAUAUCGGGCUCUCAGUCUAAUUGAAAAAACACGAAGAAAAAGCGGUCAUAAUAAAAAUCUGAGGUUAUAUUGAGGCUGAUUUUUGGAUUUUGUAUUGUUAAGAGAAGUUUAGAGGCAACUAAAAGGAUUUUUCCACCUGAUCUGACUAAAUGAGAGGACAAAGGGAGGACUGUCCAGAGUACAAGCAAUGACCUAUGAGAUUAAAAAGAAGUCUCUUUGUUGCAAUUUUAUCAUCACUUGUAAGUGACAAAGUACCAAAAGACAGGUUUGUGGCAGCUGCAAUAUAUUUUCUUCAGAGCAGGAAAAUCAUCAACAAGGUGUCUGUAUGUGUGUAGCACUGCUUGAAUAUGAAAGCAAUUUUCUGAAGCCCUGUGGCUUAAUUCUAUUGUUUUCGUCAAGAACAAGUAUUCUGGAUCACAAUCUUCAGCAACUGAUAGUAAUGGACACUCUGUGAAAAAUGGAUGAGCAAGUUCUUCAAACGACUACUGGACAAGGCUUCAGUACUAUCAACAGCAAUAUUUGCACUUAUCUAAAAAUAAAUUAAUUGCUAGCAGCGUUUCAGUACAUUUGCUUCUCUGGAUUCUGUGUACAAUUUCCAUUAAACUAAAGGGGAAAGGAAAUAUGUAAAGGGAAUAAAACAAAGAGAAAGGAAACAAAAAAGAAGGCAUGCUGCAUGUAGAGAGCAACUAUAAUCUAUUUUCUAAAUACAUUUGUUCUAAUAAAAUAUUAGCUAGAAAUACAAGCAGUGAUGGAACUGCUCAGAGCAUAGAUAAUAUGGGAUUAUAUACAUUAUUGCAUGAUUUACCUUGAAGAUUAGGUAGAAAACCUAAUUAUGCAUUCAAUAUUCAUUCUUAGUAUCUCCUGAAAAACACUGCAGAUUCAUGAGAGUCAGUUCUUUUUUCCUGCAGCAGGACCAUAUCCUCCAGCAUUUGAUGGCAACAUAAAUUAUAAGGUUCUUUAAUUAUUCAGUUCCGCCCAGACUGGCCAGCACCCUCAUUAUCUUCCCAUGCAGAGCACCUUUCAACUUAGAGCAAAGCCUGUCUGUACAGGAGCAGGUUGUAGACAAGCCGAAAGAAUUCUGUUUUCAUGGUCAAACUAACAUAGUCACUGACUUCUCCAUCUACACAAAAUCAGCCACCCUCUGGUCACUGGUUUUAUCCUAGUUAUUAACUUAAAUUAACCUUUCAUAUAGAACUGUGAAGAAUAUUUGCAUUUGAUUCUAAAAUCCUUCUGAUAUCAAAGAAAAAAAUAUCUUAGGCAGGGACAAGAUCGGGCACUGGAAGCAUUUGAAUUGAAGUAAAAAUUCAAGAUGUUGAGCCUGAUUUAGGCAAGGAUAUAAUACAAGCACAGACUUCACUUUGUACAUGUAAGCAGUCUCCUUUCAGACAGCAAAGUAAAAGCAUGUAGAGGUAAACAAGGGCAAGAUGAAGUCUGUUCAAUUAUUUGAGCAUUUACACAAAGGCAUUUAACCCCAAAACUCCAAAGAUAUUUAGGUGCCUUAAUUCCUCUCAGAAGCUGUGCACUGCUGAGGAGCUCUGGAGGCAGGCUUCUCUGGUAAUGGGAGCUAAAAGAAAAUUAUAUUUUAUUGAAUUUCUAUUCAUAUAUAUAAACAAUAUGAACCUGUUAUAUUGACUCUUGAUUUUAACUCUUUGUAUUUUAUGCAUUAAAAUGAUUAGUCUUAAAUGAUUUUUAAGCUAGAUUUUCUAGUUAGAGCAAAAAUCAUGCCAUUAAAAUAACACUGGGAAAUUAGCUAUUGGAAGUACUCAUUAUUUGUCUAUACGCAAACUGAAACUUCCCAAGUCUAAUCACAAAGGAAUGUUCAUUAGCUCUCUGCCACAGCAGUAGCACCGUUCUGCUGAAGACACACAUUACAUUUACUGUUAUAAAGCUCAUGAAGACGGUGCCUUGGAGCCAAAAUAAGACUUUCAGUAUAGAUGCUCUGCCCACAAACAAGGUUCAGUGGAAGAUCAGUGCACAUUCGAGCAUAGGCUCUGCCCAGAGCUUUCCCUAUUCCUGCUUUUCUUGGGCAACAAAUGCUUACAGCCAUCCAAGACAAUUAGCAGCCUGUGGGUAUGUGUAUGCUGUUACCUAUUCAGCUGAAUUUCCCAAGCUGUGACAAAGGGCUGGCAAAGUGAAUGGGAACUGCAGACUGUAAGGUGAUGGCAUCUCCCGUAGUGGGACUGUGUUAGUUGCACUAUGAAAUAUUUCUGCCUAACCUCCACAAAGAAUGGAAAACUACAGCAAUCUGUCUUCAACUCCCACUCUACUAAGGUGUGAAUAAUAAAUGGCUGAAUACAACUAUCACAAGUAAGGCUGCUAUUUAGGUUAACUGUAAACCAACCAACUGCACCAAGAGUCAUAAGGGCUGUAGGUAUUGUUAAGCACUGGUUAAAAGCCUAACUGACACCUGGAAAAGAGUAUUCUUUGUAAGUCAAGUUUAAAAAGGGAAUUGUGGAUACACUUCUGUCUAAUUGCUUUCAACAACAGUAAUUUCUGAUACCAUUUGCUGUAACAAUAAAUACUAAACAUUUACAUGUGCAUUAUUCCCCUAAAUACAAAAAUUAUGUAAAACCAGUAUUAUGAAUAUAUUUAGCAAAUGUUAAAGUCUAUUUGAAAACUCUGAGCAUUUCUUGCAUUGGAUUCACAAUUGAAUAAGUAGACCUCAGAAUGCAAAGAUAGCGACUCUUUUAAAGGCAAAUUAUGAAAGUAUAUAGUAUUAUAGCACAAAAAUAAUGGAAAAGAUAUCUUCAGUAAACUCCAGUACCAUAUAAGCAGCCUCAUACCCUUCAUGUAGAUUUCUUAAAUUUCCUCAAAACUGACUCCCUCUGUGAAAAAAAUAUAUCUAGUCACAAUGCAAGACUCUUAAUGGAUCAUUGAGGCCAGAGUCAUUAGGGCUGAGAUUCUGGGAGGGAUUCCAGAAAGAUCAGACUAUAAACAAGAAAAAUACAUUCAUUAUUUAUCGAGAUAUUGGCGUUCUGUCUCUUCAUUCAACUACUUCUAACACUGCACAUGAGAACUACAGUACUGAAAAUAUACUGUAUCAGGAAUGGCAAACAAGAUCUAUGAACAAUUUGUCCCUCCUGUCAUUGCCAGAAUAAGACUCACCAAAGAUCAGAAAUGAAGCAAAACAAAAGAAAAAACUUACAAAAAAAAAAACCCAACCAAACCUCAUAGAAAACUGACCAACCAACAAGCACUGGGUACUCAGUUCAAACAACUCACAUAUCAAGGGCUAAAUGUUCAAAUUUUGGGAAAUUCAAAUUGUGUUACACAAUUUCUAUGUGAAAAUUGGCAAUGCAUGCAUGCUUCUGCAAGGCAUUUGUGAAUGUAUGAGCCCAUUUCUCAAUUAAGGAGCAGGUAUCUGUACUGUACUCUGUAUUUGAUACAGUUAGGCACCGAAAGCACACAAGUAUUUUGUAAUAAAUCAUUUAAAGAAUGGAAAAGAUUUAAAUUCUUACACAUUCAGUUUGCAGCUAGCACAAACAAUAAUGCUGGAAUACUUUGUAUGGGCAAGAAUUCUACAAUAUUUGGAAUAGAUAAAAUAGAUGUUCAUGCAAGGAUUUCUGGACCAUCAGCUCCGUGGUAUCUUAAUCAAUAAAAUCAUAUAAUUCCAUUUAUCCAUUCAUUGAUACCCAUGUAAAAAACUGUCUUACCUCCACAGUCCCACACAGGAUUUUCACAGUCACUCUUUUGAAAGGCUUUAAAUUUUCCUUGAGUUUUAUCCUAAGUUUAUUUAUUCACAUGUUUACUCAUCUAAACUCAUUUGUUUUGAGCCAACUAUGCCCUUGAGUUUAGCCAACUCUUCUCAGUCCCUCUUGUCCAUCUUCCUGACAUAUCCAAAAACAGCAAUCAUAUCCUCUUCCAGCCUACUGCUGGCAAAGCUAAAUUAACCCUGUUGCAAUCUUCCAUUCCUUGAUUACCCAGAGACUUUUCUUUGUAAUUGUUUCUCCUUUGUUUCAACUUGAUUGUAUGUAAGUUAGAAGAAUGUCCUAAGUACACCAGAUGAGAUCUCAUCGGGGCCUUAUAAGAUGGCAUUCACAUUUCUUGCUUUCUCUUAGAAAUGUUUCAUAUUGUAUAUCCUAAGACUGCUUACAUUUCACAGUCUGGAUUAUAUCAUGCUGUUGCUUUCUGUAUCAGAGAAUAAUUGCAGCCCCUUUUAACUAGCUGUUACAGACUUGGCCAACAUCAUUAGUCUUUGGUAAAUGUAAACUCAACACUUCAAAUUCCUUUCGAAUUAUUAAAAUCCUUUAAGUACA